RNAcentral lists this ribosomal RNA (253 nucleotides) under uncultured bacterium. RNAcentral's name for it is "partial 16S ribosomal RNA". It matches the Rfam family "Bacterial small subunit ribosomal RNA", at positions 524 to 776 of the family's 1533-position model. The record is from RNAcentral.
UACGGAGGGGGCUAGCGUUGUUCGGAAUUACUGGGCGUAAAGCGCACGUAGGCGGCUAUUCAAGUCAGAGGUGAAAGCCCGGGGCUCAACCCCGGAACUGCCUUUGAAACUAGGUAGCUAGAAUUCUGGAGAGGUCAGUGGAAUUCCGAGUGUAGAGGUGAAAUUCGUAGAUAUUCGGAAGAACACCAGUGGCGAAGGCGACUGACUGGACAGAUAUUGACGCUGAGGUGCGAAAGCGUGGGGAGCAAACAGG